GAAGAUCCGGCCCUCCGGACAUCAAGGACACCUACUCCCUCCUCGUUCUCAACAUCAGCUUCAGAACGACGGCAGAUGAUCUUUACCCUUUGUUUGACAAGUAUGGGAAGGUGGUGGAUGUAUUCAUCCCGAGGGAUCGGAGGACGGGAGAGUCGCGUGGAUUCGCUUUCGUGAGGUAUAAGUAUGCUGAGGAGGCGCAGAAGGCCGUGGAUAGGCUUGAUGGAAGGAGUGUUGAUGGUCGGAACAUUAUGGUUCAGUUUGCCAAGUAUGGCCCUAAUGCAGAGAGGAUUCAGAAAGGCAGAAUCGUGGAAGCAGUACCAAAAUCUAGGGGAAGGUCAAGGAGCCGUAGCCCUAGGCCUAGACAUAGAGAUGAUCAUCGAGAUAGGGAUCAUAGGAGACGGAGCCGCAGCCGAAGCAAAGGAAGGUAUGAGCGGGACAGGUACUAUGACAAGGAAAAGGACCAUUACCGUCGGAGCAGGAGUCGCAGUAUUAGUCCUGAUCGUGGAAGAGGUCGUGAUAGAAGAAGGUAUUCCGAUGAACGAAAGAGCAGGAGCCGCUCAUUUGACAGUGCAUCACCUUCUCGACGUAGCUACAGCCCUAAGAGAAGUGCAUCUCCACGUCGGACACCUUCUCGUGAUGCAAGUGAUGACAAAUACAGCAAUGGGAAAAAAUCUCCACGUUCUCAAAGUGCAUCACCCAAAGGUCGUGAUGACUCUCGAAGUCCUUCCCCACACAAUUCUGCUGAGCAGGAUUGAUGAAAAUAUGCAGCAGAUAAAGCCAAACCAGCAAUUGCAAGAUUUGUGGAAGUAAAACUAUGGUUUUGAUGGCAAUGGACUUUUUUCAAGUUCUGUUCGAGAGUGAGUAGCUGAUUAAUGGCUGAUUAGCAAGAUGCUUGCAAAUGGAUGCGGUCUUGCUGAUGAAGCUGUGUAGCUGCUGCUGAUUAUAAUUUUGAUGAUAUUGAUGGUGAAUGAUGAUGAUGAUGAUGAUGAUGAUGAUGAUUGAUGAUGUUCAUGAUGAUGAUUCAUGAGAUGAUGUUGGUGAUGGUGGGUGAUCACAUGAUCGGUGACCAUACAAAUUUUUUAUAGAACAAUGGUUGCGAUUGCUGAGACGAACUCCUAGUAAAUUUCUCUUGUUGUUGCUGUGGAGUUUGUGAUGAUCAUGUUGAUGAUAUUCUCUAUUGGCUGUUGGGAAGCUGUUGCUGUCCUUGUAGCUGCAGUGGUUUGAUCUGAGUGCUAGUCUUUACAUUGCUGUUGAUGUCCUGGUGCACUGUAGCUUUUCUCCUAUGCUUUCCUCCAUUGUUUUUGAAGCCGAAUCAACUUUCAUUAAUCUAUUGAAAUGCAGAAGUAUAGGUUUAGCAUGCAUUCCUGAGUUUUGUGGAUUCAUUUUUAUUCUGGCUGGCUGGCUGGCCUGCACUAAGCUUAGCUGUUGAGUACUUUUGUUGGUGAAAGCUGUGAAAAUGGAUUCCUCUGCUUGUGAUUAUAUGCAUGAAUAACCAUGUUGGGUUGUUGUUUAACCA
Molecule: RNA transcript, 1516 nt
Organism: Dioscorea cayenensis subsp. rotundata (Guinea yam)
Lineage: Eukaryota; Viridiplantae; Streptophyta; Magnoliopsida; Dioscoreales; Dioscoreaceae
Gene name: serine/arginine-rich splicing factor SC35
Exons: 10
Source: RefSeq, a predicted model, not a curated record